GCAGGUACUUUACUACUAGCGCCUUUCCUGAUGGCUCAGUAAAGAAUCCGCCUGUAAUGUGGGAGACCGAGGUUUGAGGGUCCCUGAGGCCGAGGCGGCACUGCAAGCAGCGAGGUGGGUGUGGAGUGGUCGCCCCGACUCCUCUCACCACGAGGUGCCCUACGGAGAGGGUUCCUCAGACCCUGAAGCCAGGUGGCCCCACGACUGUCUUCGCCUGGAGAGAGUGGCUGCGAGACUGCUGACCUCCAACACCAGGCCCAGGGAAGUCAGCCACGACCAGCCCAGGCAGCAUCCAGCCCCGCAGGGCCACCAGGCUGCAGGCCUCAUGGGGACAGGAGCCAGGGGUGAGGCCGAGCCUGGUGGGCCCCGCUGUCCCCGCCACCCCUGCCAGCCCGCAGGCCUGGCCACAGAACGAGUUCUCCUGGAGUGGGCCAGCUGGGGCCUCACAUGUGGCAUUAGAAACCAGAAUGUCAGGACAGGGCGAGGCCAUGGGCACUAGGGGAGAGGCCGGUCAGGUGAGAGAGAAGACACCUAUGAGAGACAGAACUGUAUCUACACGUAAAAUUUAAUUCUGCACCAGACUGUUAAAAUGAAACAGAAAGCUCCAGGGAGAGAGAAAAUAUUCACCAAUCAUAAAUCUAAUAAAGGACUGGUGCAGAGUAAGAACCAAAGUGUAUGGGGACAGCAUCCAGCACGGGCGGGGGGGCGGAUGCGCAGUCACAGUGGAGGUGGCCGGGCAGCUUCUCACCAAGUGCACUCGCCCUCACCACGUGACCAGCGUCAUGCUCCCUGGUACUCACCCAGAUGAGCUGAAACCUCACCUCCACAUAAAACCUGCAACAUUCACUGCUCUAUCCGUGAUCAUUAACAACUGGAAGCAACCAAGAUGCUCCUCCAAGAGGGGAUGGAUACACCAUGGGGUUCCAUCGAGUGGAACAGGAUGUUGACUCGCACAACAGGACCUGUGCGUCUUAAAAGUAAUCCAGCCCCACCUGUGAAUCGACUCAUAGGACCUUCUAGAAAAGGCAUAGCUCCGGGAGGACAAGUGUUAGCGGCUGCUGGGGCUCAUGGGUGGGGAGCUUCGGUCAGAGUGUGGAUGUGUCCACCCCUCAGCGUGCAAAAACCCAAGGGGCUGCCUUCCCAGAGACUGAACUGUAAUGUGUGCAAGCUGAAACAAUAAAAUCUUGUCAAACUGUA
Molecule: non-coding RNA, 1197 nt
Organism: Odocoileus virginianus texanus
Lineage: Eukaryota; Metazoa; Chordata; Mammalia; Artiodactyla; Cervidae
Source: RefSeq, a predicted model, not a curated record